AUUGAACGCUGGCGGCAGGCCUAACACAUGCAAGUCGAGCGGAUGAAGGGAGCUUGCUCCUGGAUUCAGCGGCGGACGGGUGAGUAAUGCCUAGGAAUCUGCCUGGUAGUGGGGGAUAACGUCCGGAAACGGGCGCUAAUACCGCAUACGUCCUGAGGGAGAAAGUGGGGGAUCUUCGGACCUCACGCUAUCAGAUGAGCCUAGGUCGGAUUAGCUAGUUGGUGGGGUAAAGGCCUACCAAGGCGACGAUCCGUAACUGGUCUGAGAGGAUGAUCAGUCACACUGGAACUGAGACACGGCCCAGACUCCUAGGGGAGGCAGCAGUGGGGAAUAUUGGACAAUGGGCGAAAGCCUGAUCCAGAAAGGCGGCGUGUGUGAAGAAGGUCUUCGGAUUGUAAAGCACUUUAAGUUGGGAGGAAGGGCAGUAAGUUAAUACCUUGCUGUUUUGACGGUACCAACAGAAUAAGCACCGGCUAACUUCGUG
RNAcentral lists this ribosomal RNA (484 nucleotides) under uncultured bacterium. RNAcentral describes it as "partial 16S ribosomal RNA". It matches the Rfam family "Bacterial small subunit ribosomal RNA", at positions 30 to 507 of the family's 1533-position model. The record is from RNAcentral.